Molecule: long non-coding RNA, 1324 nt
Filed under: Cricetulus griseus (Chinese hamster)
Lineage: Eukaryota; Metazoa; Chordata; Mammalia; Rodentia; Cricetidae
Description: lncRNA (ENSCGRG00015034839.1)
Source: RNAcentral
CUAACUCAUCAGAGGCGUCCUCUAGGCCACCCCAGUGCUGGUUUGAAAGGUGUGGUUCCUACAGAAGAGGCCUCAGCCUUCGUAGGUGACCAUGCUGUACCAGGGUCCACCUUCCCACUCUUUCUUUCUUCCCCACUAUCCAAAGGCCCAGAUGGACCAGAACUCCCCUUGCAAUGCUGAACAGUUGAACCAGCUCCACAGGAUUACAUCUGUUUUGGCUGGCUCAGGUGAAUUCCAAUCAGAAAUAAAGCCUCCACUUUUGCUCCUGAAGAUCACUUGAAUUCACUGACAGAACCCCAACAAUGAAAACAAAAACAACUCAAGUUCUAGAAUGAACCCUGAUACAAGAAUUGCAUAACCUGGGAAAUGCAAACUAUGGAACCUGAGCUCAUCACUAAACCUGAGUUUGCUCCCCCCCGCCCCCGGUGGAACGGGAAGGUGAUGAGCCUACUCUGCAAACACAGCCUUGUGAAAAUCAGUGAAGUCAUGCCCGGGAAACCCAUCCCCAGUGCCUGAGUUCCUGAGAGCCAUACACAUCUCCUUAAGUUGUCCACAGUCUUCUGGUGACCGUGUAGCUACAGGGAAGGCUAACCUCUUCACUAUAUCACUCAGUAGGCAACAGGAUGAAGACGAGGAAUCUGGUUCUGCCACACACCAGUGAUAAGCCUGUGACUGGCUGCCUGAGCAGAGAAAGGGCAGUCAAAAUACAGAUGUGGACACACCCUGCUCACCUGCCAAUUCUAACAGCUGGGCCACGUGGGCACAGACAGACCCAAGUCUCCUGCUCAGAAGAUUCCUGAGACAUGACAAUACCAACCAUGGUAACCUCCCCCUCACAAGGGCAAGCAUGUAUGUGAGCUGCCAAAUAUCUGAUAAGAUGGCAUUGUCAAGUUCCACAAUGUCCACAAAGGUGAGAAAAUGAGAGAGGGAUCAGUCACAGGAAAGGGAAUGGAAACUGCAUGUUAUCUUGUUAAAAUCUUGUGCUAUAGCACGAAGGCUUCUUCUACAUGUCCUUGUUUAUACAGGGCUGUUGCCAUUUCUAGAAUGUUUCCCCCCAUGUUGACAUAGGAGACAUAGGAAACUUUGCUGUUUGUUUCCACAUUCUGGCCAAGAAUCCCUCUUGUGGCAGGAGACUGACAUCUUGAUGCCCAAGAAUGGAGAUUUUUCUAAGCCUGGCAUACCCUUACUGUGAUAGACCAGGGGCUAGGGGUGUCUGUGCCCCUUGGAAGCUUAAUGUGAAGGAGCUCUUGGGUAGCAUUUAACUUGGAGCAGACCUUACAAGCAGCCAUUGAUUGAGAUUAGCACUAGAAGACUGUGAGUGGCU